CAAACCAAAGCUGGCGACCGGCGCACGGGUAAGUAACACGUAUCCAACCUGCCUCAUACUCGGGGAUAGCCUUUCGAAAGAAAGAUUAAUAUCCGAUAGCAUAUAUUUCCCGCAUGGGUUUUAUAUUAAAGAAAUUUGGUAUGAGAUGGGGAUGCGUUCCAUUAGUUUGUUGGGGGGGUAACGGCCCACCAAGACUACGAUGGAUAGGGGUUCUGAGAGGAAGGUCCCCCACAUUGGAACUGAGACACGGUCCAA
This 255-nucleotide ribosomal RNA is filed under the name uncultured bacterium. RNAcentral describes it as "partial 16S ribosomal RNA". It matches the Rfam family "Bacterial small subunit ribosomal RNA", at positions 74 to 334 of the family's 1533-position model. The record is from RNAcentral.